GAGUGGGGAGGAGAGAGGGACAGAGAGCCUGCUUGCUUUAAAGGAACUAACCAGACAGGAACUCUCCUCUCCCGCUUUGCUCCUUUAAAGAAGCAGGCUCUCUGGCCCUCUCUCCUCCCCACUCA
This 125-nucleotide microRNA precursor is filed under the name Podarcis lilfordi (Lilford's wall lizard). Lineage: Eukaryota; Metazoa; Chordata; Lepidosauria; Squamata; Lacertidae. The record is from RNAcentral.